Molecule: long non-coding RNA, 849 nt
Organism: Lathyrus oleraceus (garden pea)
Lineage: Eukaryota; Viridiplantae; Streptophyta; Magnoliopsida; Fabales; Fabaceae
Exons: 2
Source: RefSeq, a predicted model, not a curated record
GUUAUUUCUGAAGAGGAGGAUCGAUCAGAGGGAACCCACACCAAGAGCAAGCAGAAGAAGGAUGAAAAGAAGAGGAAGAGAGAUGAAAAAGAACGACCAACCAGACAAAGCAGUAGGAUUCAAGCCUGGCUGCAAAGUCUUAGGUGUCAAGGAGUUUGCAAGGAAUGAAGGUCCUUAUAAUUAGGGAAAACGUGGAAACCAUGUGAAGAUUGAAGUGUAGGCGAGCUAUAACCUUGUAUGGAUAAGAUCAAGCACUACAAGAUAAAAUUCUACAAAAGUUGAUAUGCACAGAAUGAUGCAUGUUGUUGUUUGUCUAUGCAACAGACCUGCCACAUAAUGUUUUAUUCCCUGCAUGUUGGAGGAAAUUGUACUACUUGGAACUAAUUUGAAGGAAAGAAUAAGGAAUAUGUUAUGUUUAUUGGGCCAGUAGCAAGGAAUAUCCAUAAAGCCUAUGAUCCAAUGACAAGACAAAACCCUAAAAGUCAGAGGGUGUAAAAGGAACCUCUUUGAGGAAAUGGAAAGAGGUUAAGAAGUUGAAAGACUUGAGAAAUUGCUAUAAAAAUAUAUUAUUGAAAAAGAAGAAGAAGUUUGAAUCGAUAGUGAAGAGUUCCUUCCAUUCUCCUCCAUUGAAGAAGUGUUGGGCCUCUUGGCAUGACACAACUCGCCUUCUGCUGAUUGAGAGAUUGUAAGGAGUAAAGUGUCAUACUUUGGUUUAUAUAUAUUUUCAUCUGUGUUUAUAAAUGUUGAAUGUAAGAACUUGUGUUAUUGUAUUUCUUUUGCUCAUCAUGAGCUAAAACACUUUAUUAUGAACAAUGUGAAGUUUAAUAAAAAGAAGUAUUUUAUGUUAAA